GAUGAACGCUGGCGGCGUGCUUAACACAUGCAAGUCGAACGGAAAGGCCCUGGCUUGGUCGGGUGCUCGAGUGGCGAACGGGUGAGUAACACGUGAGUAACCUGCCCUUUACUUUGGGAUAACCUCAGGAAACUGGGGCUAAUACCGGAUAGGAGCUCCUGCUGCAUGGUGUGGGUGGGAAAGUUUCGGCUGUGGGGGAUGGACUCGGGGUUUCUCAGUUUGUUGGGGGGGUAGUGGCUUACCAAGGCUUUGACGGGUAGCCGGCCUGAGAGGGUGACCGGCCACAUUGGGACUGAGAUACGGCCCAGACUCCUACGGGAGGCAGCAGUGGGGAAUAUUGCACAAUGGGCGGACGCCUGAUGCAGCAACGCCGCGUGCGGGAUGACGGCCUUCGGGUUGUAAACCGCUUUCGCCUGUGACGGAGCGUGAGUGACGGUAAUGGGUAAAGAAGCACCGGCUAACUACGUG
RNAcentral lists this ribosomal RNA (468 nucleotides) under uncultured bacterium. RNAcentral describes it as "partial 16S ribosomal RNA". It matches the Rfam family "Bacterial small subunit ribosomal RNA", at positions 28 to 507 of the family's 1533-position model. The record is from RNAcentral.